This 1525-nucleotide ribosomal RNA is filed under the name metagenome. RNAcentral describes it as "bacterial SSU rRNA". It matches the Rfam family "Bacterial small subunit ribosomal RNA". The record is from RNAcentral.
AGGGUUUGAUCCUGGCUCAGAACGAACGCUGGCGGCGUGGCUAAGACAUGCAAGUCGAACGAAUUAGUUAAUUGAGUAAUCGAGAGACUAAUUAGUGGCGCAAGGGUGAGGAAUAGAUAGGUAACGUACCCUGUACUUCGGGAUAGCGUCGUUGACCGCAAGGUCAACUACCGAAAGGGGCAUUAAUACCGUAUAAUAUCACUAAUCGACAGAUUGGUUAUCAAAGAUUUAUCGGUGCAGGAGCGGCCUAUCUCCUAUCAGCUUGUUGGUGAGGUAAUGGCCCACCAAGGCAACGACGGGUAAGGGGACUGAGAGGUUGUUCCCUCACAUCGGGACUGAGACACUGCCCGGACCUCCACGGAGGGCUGCGGUAACGAAUAUUGCGCAAUGGGCGAAAGCCUGACGCAGCGACGCCGCGUGUGGGAUGAAGUCCCUCGGGAUGUAAACCACUGUCAGGGAAAAGAAAUUCCGUUUAGGCGGAUUGAUCUAUCCCAAAGGAAGCCACGGCUAACUUCGUGCCAGCAGCCGCGGUAAGACGAAGGUGGCGAGCGUUGUUCGGUGUCACUGGGCUUAAAGGGUGUGUAGGCGGGAACGUAAGCGCUUUGUGAAAUCCCCCGGCUUAACCGGGGAAUUGCUUGGCGAACUGCGUUUCAUGAGGCAAGCAGGGGUACAUGGAACUCUUGGUGGAGCGGUGGAAUGCGUAGAUAUCAAGAGGAACGCCGAUGGUGAAGACAGUGUACUGGGCUUGUCCUGACGCUGAAACACGAAAGCGUGGGGAGCAAACGGGAUUAGAUACCCCGGUAGUCCACGCUGUAAACGAUGUCUACUAGGUUGCGGUGGUUCUGACACCGGCGCGACCGAAGCGAAAGUGUUUAGUAGACCGCCUGGGGAGUACGGUCGCAAGGCUAAAACUCAAAGGAAUUGACGGGGGCUCACACAAGCGGUGGAGUAUGUGGAUUAAUUCGAAACAACGCGCAGAACCUUACCUGGGUUUGACAUGCUUGGAUGCCCGCCAUGAAAGUGGUUGGGCUGCCCGCAAGGGUGAAACUUGCACAGGUGCUGCAUGGCUGUCGUCAGCUCGUGUCGUGAGAUGUCGGGUUAAGUCCUUUAACGAGCGAAACCCUUGCCGUUAGUUACCAGCGGGUCAUGCCGGGAACUCUAGCGGGACUGCCGGUGCUAAACCGGAGGAAGGUGGGGAUGACGUCAAGUCAUCAUGGCCUUUAUGCCCAGGGCCUCACACGUACUACAAUGGCGACUACAAAGCGACGCAAGACCGCGAGGUGGAGCAAAUCGCAAAAAAGUCGCCUCAAUUCGGAUUGCAGGCUGGCAAUUCGCCUGCAUGAAGUCGGAAUCGCUAGUAAUCGCAUAUCAGCUAUGAUGCGGUGAAUGUGUUCCUGAGCCUUGUACACACCGCCCGUCAAGUCAUGGGAGUUGGGAGUACCCGAAACCGGGUUACUAACCUGGGCAACCAGGAAGUGCCUGUCUACGGUAAGCCCAAUGACUGGGACUAAGUCGUAACAAGGUA